Molecule: ribosomal RNA, 253 nt
Filed under: uncultured bacterium
Lineage: Bacteria
Description: partial 16S ribosomal RNA
Rfam family: Bacterial small subunit ribosomal RNA
Source: RNAcentral
UACAGAGGUCUCAAGCGUUGUUCGGAUUCAUUGGGCGUAAAGGGUGCGUAGGCGGCGCGGUAAGUCGGGUGUGAAAUCUUGGAGCUUAACUCCGAAACUGCAUUCGAUACUGCCGUGCUUGAGGACUGGAGAGGAGACUGGAAUUUACGGUGUAGCGGUGAAAUGCGUAGAGAUCCGGAGGAACACCAGAGGCGAAGGCGGCCUACUGGGCUGCACCUGACGCUGAGCCGCGAAAGCCAGGGGAGCGAACGGG